This 463-nucleotide ribosomal RNA is filed under the name uncultured bacterium. RNAcentral describes it as "bacterial SSU rRNA". It matches the Rfam family "Bacterial small subunit ribosomal RNA", at positions 66 to 525 of the family's 1533-position model. The record is from RNAcentral.
GCGGCAGCGCGGGGCAACCUGGCGGCGAGCGGCGAACGGGUGAGUAAUGCAUCGGAACAUGUCCAUGUCGUGGGGGAUAGCCCGGCGAAAGCCGGAUUAAUACCGCAUACGCCCGAGAGGGGAAAGCAGGGGACCGCAAGGCCUUGCGCGAUUGGGUUGGCCGAUGUCCGAUUAGCUUGUUGGUGAGGUAAAGGCUUACCAAGGCGAUGAUCGGUAGCUGGUCUGAGAGGAUGAUCAGCCACACUGGGACUGAGACACGGCUCAGACUCCUACGGGAGGCAGCAGUGGGGAAUUUUGGACAAUGGGGGCAACCCUGAUCCAGCCAUUCCGCGUGAGUGAAGAAGGCCUUCGGGUUGUAAAGCUCUUUUGUCCGGAGCGAAACGGUACGGGUGAAUAUCCCGUGCUACUGACGGUACCGGAAGAAUAAGCACCGGCUAACUACGUGCCAGCAGCCGCGGUAAUA